GCACUCUUGGUGAAGCCAGCAGCAUCUCAGUCUCAUAAUCUGAAGGUCCUGAGUUCAAGACUCUGAAAGGGCA
Molecule: transfer RNA, 73 nt
Filed under: Loxodonta africana (African savanna elephant)
Lineage: Eukaryota; Metazoa; Chordata; Mammalia; Proboscidea; Elephantidae
Rfam family: tRNA
About the family: Transfer RNA (tRNA) molecules are approximately 80 nucleotides in length. Their secondary structure includes four short double-helical elements and three loops (D, anti-codon, and T loops). Further hydrogen bonds mediate the characteristic L-shaped molecular structure. tRNAs have two regions of fundamental functional importance: the anti-codon, which is responsible for specific mRNA codon recognition, and the 3' end, to which the tRNAs corresponding amino acid is attached (by aminoacyl-tRNA synthetases). tRNAs cope with the degeneracy of the genetic code in two manners: having more than one tRNA (with a specific anti-codon) for a particular amino acid; and 'wobble' base-pairing, i.e. permitting non-standard base-pairing at the 3rd anti-codon position.
Source: Rfam by way of RNAcentral